AUGAUCUAUGGAUCUGGUUGCUUCUUUGAUUUGUCGGGGUCUCUCAAUGAUAUCAAUGUUCUGCAGCGAUCUCAUUUGUUUGCUCAGCUAGCUAGUGGCAAAGCUCCGUCUUGCAACUAUACCGUCAAUGGCCAUGACUAUACCAUGGGGUAUUAUCGUGCCGACGGUAUUUAUCCUUCAUGGUCAACAUUUGUGAAGACCAUUAGUGACCCUAAAAUCAAGAAGCACAUUUUUUUUGCCAAAGCACAAGAAGCUUGCCGAAAGGAUAUUGAGAGGGCAUUUGGUGUGUUGCAAGCUCGGUUUGCCAUUGUUUGA
RNAcentral lists this ribosomal RNA (315 nucleotides) under Triticum aestivum (bread wheat). Its description in RNAcentral is "partial small subunit ribosomal RNA". Lineage: Eukaryota; Viridiplantae; Streptophyta; Magnoliopsida; Poales; Poaceae. The record is from RNAcentral.